This 378-nucleotide ribosomal RNA is filed under the name uncultured prokaryote. RNAcentral's name for it is "partial 16S ribosomal RNA". The record is from RNAcentral.
CCCUAUGGGGUGCGUCAACGUUUUCAUCUCCACCACGCCCAGUCCGUCGAACGGCAUGUUCAUCAUUUUCCCCCAAAAAGAGGUCAUCAAGCUCGACAUGGACGUCUCCGAGGCCUUGAAUCUCGUGCUUUCCGCCGGCGCAAUCCUGCCGCAGAAAUCGGCCGAGGUCAGCAAGAACUCCAUUCUCGAGAUGAUCGACAACCUGAUCAAUAAGCAGGACGAGAAGGAGCAGGCCUGACCGACCGUCGGCGGACAACAUCCCAUGAUCAUCCAGACACAGGCGAUCGUCCUCCAGAUACGGCCGUGGUCGAAAACCUCGCACAUGGUCACCUGGCUCACCCCCGACCACGGCAAGAUUGUGACUUCCGUCAAGGGAGC